This 801-nucleotide long non-coding RNA is filed under the name Sorghum bicolor (sorghum). RNAcentral's name for it is "long non-coding RNA (SBIC_LNC010333)". The record is from RNAcentral. Lineage: Eukaryota; Viridiplantae; Streptophyta; Magnoliopsida; Poales; Poaceae.
GGGGCUUACUAUUUUUCACAUUUUUAUUUUCUUUUUAGGAUAGUAUGAACAUGAUUAACUAAGCAAACUAUUUUAAAUAAUUAAAAGUGAAAUGAUAACUACCAAGUUUACCUCUUGGCAAGGCGUUCGGUGUUUUUAAGUCCUCCGAAUGGGACACUCCGUUUUCUAGUUGUCCUGAGAUUCGUUGGGUGGCGGAAUCGGUACUUCCGGCAGCGCCUCCUCUUCAUGUAUGGUUAUCUUCUCUUUCCACACCUGACUCGGUGCUACGGUCUCCUCUAGAUAGUUCUGUUUAAAUUAUAUGUCUUCUGACCUUAUCACUUCUCCUUCAUAGUCUGCCCAUCCGUCCUUGAUGAUCUGCCUCCUCUGGUUGCAAUUGCGUCGUUUUCUGACCUGCUUAGAUUCUUCAACGAUAUAGUUAGGGUCAGUAAAAUAGCGGCGUACCUUCUCUGAGGGGAAGUGCAUAUGGACUUCUCCAGUUCCAAUGUAGAUAAUUGCUUUAACAGUGCUGAGGAAUGGUCUUCCAAGGAUGAUGGGUGGAUCGUACUCAUCUUCUCCCAUGUCAAUAACCUGAAAGUCUGUGUAGACAAAACGAUCAUCUAUUUUGACAGGGACAUCAGUUACUAUUCAUUUGACCUUUUGAAAUGUCUGAUCUGCCAUCUGGAGCUGAAUGUAUGUUGGUUUUAAGGGCAUGGUUCCAAACAAGAGCCGAUAGGUGACUGCGGCCAUUAUGUUGACGCCCGAUCCGGUGUCGCAAGUCGUCUUGUAGAAGUUGUAUCCAUUUAUGGAGCAAUAGAUGCUUGG